UACAAAGAGGCUCCUCUGAUGAUGUCUUGA
This 30-nucleotide non-coding RNA is filed under the name Rattus norvegicus (Norway rat). The record is from RNAcentral. Lineage: Eukaryota; Metazoa; Chordata; Mammalia; Rodentia; Muridae.